CCUACGGGUGGCUGCAGUGGGGAAUAUUGCACAAUGGGGGAAACCCUGAUGCAGCGACGCCGCGUGAGUGAAGAAGUAUCUCGGUACGUAAAGCUCUAUCAGCAGGGAAGAAAAUGACGGUACCUGACUAAGAAGCCCCGGCUAACUACGUGCCAGCAGCCGCGGUACUACGUAGGGGGCCAGCGUUAUCCGGAUUUACUGGGUGUAAAGGGAGCGUAGACGGCAGCACAAGUCUGGAGUGAAAUCCCGGGGCUUAACCCCGGAACUGCUUUGGAAACUGUGCGGCUUGAGUGCAGGAGGGGUAAGCGGAAUUCCUAGUGUAGCGGUGAAAUGCGUAGAGAUUAGGAGGAACACCGGUGGCGAAGGCGACUUACUGGACUGUAACUGACGUUGAGGCUCGAAAGCGUGGGGAGCAAACAGGAUUAGAUACCCCAGUAGUC
This 440-nucleotide ribosomal RNA is filed under the name uncultured bacterium. RNAcentral's name for it is "partial 16S ribosomal RNA". It matches the Rfam family "Bacterial small subunit ribosomal RNA", at positions 338 to 795 of the family's 1533-position model. The record is from RNAcentral.